CCCACCCUUCCUGUACUA
RNAcentral lists this transfer RNA (18 nucleotides) under Diplodactylus conspicillatus (fat-tailed gecko). Its description in RNAcentral is "partial tRNA-Met". Lineage: Eukaryota; Metazoa; Chordata; Lepidosauria; Squamata; Diplodactylidae. The record is from RNAcentral.